This 1068-nucleotide ribosomal RNA is filed under the name Triticum aestivum (bread wheat). RNAcentral's name for it is "partial small subunit ribosomal RNA". The record is from RNAcentral. Lineage: Eukaryota; Viridiplantae; Streptophyta; Magnoliopsida; Poales; Poaceae.
AUGUCUUUUACUACAUUUCCCUUCCAACUAGUUCAUUGUGACCUUUGGACGUCACCACUUGCAAGUUUUUCUGGCUUCAAGUAUUAUCUGAUUGUAAUGGAUAAUUUCACACAUUUUUCAUGGAGUUUCCCCCUCCGAAAUAAAUCUGAUGCAGCCCCCACUCUUGAGCGUUUUUACACAUAUAUUCUCACGCAGUUUCAGCUUGUCAUCAAGUGUGUGCAAUGUGAUAACGGAGGUGAGUUCCUCAACAUCCGCCUUCGCACCUUCUUCUCUGAUCGCGACGUAUCAUUCUCUUGCCCGCAUACCUCCCCCCCAAACGGCAAGGCGGAACACGCUAUCCGCUCCACCAUCGACAUUCUCCGCACCCUCCUUCUUCAAGCCCAUAUGCCUCCCGCCUUUUGGGUCGAAGCACUCCACACUGCCACCUUCCUGCUCAACGUGCGUCCCUCACGAGCCAUCACCGGAAACACCCCAUACUUUCUCCUCUACGGUGUCGUUCCCAACUAUUCCUCUCUCCGCACCUUCGGAUGUCUCUGUUUCCCGGACACAUACGCCACCAUGCCUCACAAGCUGGCUCCCCGUGCGGUCCGCUGCGUCCUCCUUGGCAUGCCCCUUGAACACAAAGGGUAUUGCUGCCUUGACCUCGCGACGCGCCGUGUCAUCACCUCGCGCCACGUGGUGUUUGACGAGAACACAUUCCCGUUCGCCUCUUCCACGAUCGGCCACACCGGUGCACGAGAAAACCCUGCCCCAGCCACAGCAGAUCCGCCCUUGCCGCCCCCAAUCCACCUUGGAUCACCCGCCCAACCACCCGCUCCCACACGCCCUGCCUCGGGAUUCCCCGCGCCUGCCGCAUCGGCCACGCGAGACCCACCUGCUCCCGCACGCCCCGCCUCGGGAUUCCCCGUGCCUACCGCACCGGCCGCAGACCCGCGCAUCCCACGCUCCCCUCCCACACGCCCCGCCGCUAUUUUUUCAAAAUGCCUUUGUUGGCUGUCAUUAUUCGAGUGUGCCUUCUCUCAAAAUGGACACGAAAAAUACCACAGCAUGUCGGGUGCCAUUCCAUGA